Molecule: ribosomal RNA, 253 nt
Filed under: uncultured bacterium
Lineage: Bacteria
Description: partial 16S ribosomal RNA
Rfam family: Bacterial small subunit ribosomal RNA
Source: RNAcentral
UACAGAGGUCUCAAGCGUUGUUCGGAUUCAUUGGGCGUAAAGGGUGUGUAGGUGGCGCCGUAAGUCGGGUGUGAAAUUUCGGAGCUUAACUCCGAAACUGCAUUCGAUACUGCGGUGCUUGAGGACUGGAGAGGAGACUGGAAUUCAUGGUGUAGCAGUGAAAUGCGUAGAGAUCAUGAGGAAGACCAGUGGCGAAGGCGGCAUCCUGGACCAACACUGACGCUGAGGAGCGAAAGCCAGGGGAGCAAACGGG